Molecule: ribosomal RNA, 301 nt
Filed under: uncultured bacterium
Lineage: Bacteria
Description: partial 16S ribosomal RNA
Rfam family: Bacterial small subunit ribosomal RNA
Source: RNAcentral
CAGUCGCCACGGUAAUACGAAGGGGGCUAGCGUUGUUCGGAAUUACUGGGCGUAAAGCGCGCGUAGGCGGCUUUGUAAGUCAGAGGUGAAAGCCCGGGGCUCAACCCCGGAAUUGCCUUUGAGACUGCAUCGCUUGAAUCCAGGAGAGGUGAGUGGAAUUCCGAGUGUAGAGGUGAAAUUCGUAGAUAUUCGGAAGAACACCAGUGGCGAAGGCGGCUCACUGGACUGGUAUUGACGCUGAGGUGCGAAAGCGUGGGGAGCAAACAGGAUUAGAUACCCCCGUAGUCCCUGUCUCUUAUAC